GCUAGAUGUGGUGGUGCACAUCUGUAAUCCCAGCUACUCAGGAGGCUGAGGUGGGAGAAUCGCUUGAACGCGGGAGGUGGAGCUCGCAGUGAGCCCAGAUCGCGCCACUGCACUCCAGCCUGGGUGACAGAGCGAGACUCCAUCUCAA
RNAcentral lists this non-coding RNA (148 nucleotides) under Gorilla gorilla gorilla (western lowland gorilla). The record is from Rfam by way of RNAcentral. Lineage: Eukaryota; Metazoa; Chordata; Mammalia; Primates; Hominidae.